ACUUCUUUAUCUCCGAGUGCUUGCACUCACCGAUAAAGAGUUGAGUGGCGAACGGGUGAGUAACACGUGGGCAACCUGCCCAAAAGAGGGGGAUAACACUUGGAAACAGGUGCUAAUACCGCAUAACCAUAGUUACCGCAUGGUAACUAUGUAAAAGGUGGCUAUGCUACCGCUUUUGGAUGGGCCCGCGGCGCAUUAGCUAGUUGGUGGGGUAAAGGCUUACCAAGGCAAUGAUGCGUAGCCGAACUGAGAGGUUGAUCGGCCACAUUGGGACUGAGACACGGCCCAAACUCCUACGGGAGGCAGCAGUAGGGAAUCUUCCACAAUGGGCGAAAGCCUGAUGGAGCAACGCCGCGUGGGUGAAGAAGGUCUUCGGAUCGUAAAACCCUGUUGUUAGAGAAGAAAGUGCGUGAGAGUAACUGUUCACGUUUCGACGGUAUCUAACCAGAAAGCCACGGCUAACUACGUGCCAGCAGCCGCGGUAAUACGUAGGUGGCAAGCGUUAUCCGGAUUUAUUGGGCGUAAAGGGAACGCAGGCGGUCUUUUAAGUCUGAUGUGAAAGCCUUCGGCUUAACCGGAGUAGUGCAUUGGAAACUGGGAGACUUGAGUGCAGAAGAGGAGAGUGGAACUCCAUGUGUAGUGGUGAAAUGCGUAGAUAUAUGGAAAAACACCAGUGGCGAAAGCGGCUCUCUGGUCUGUAACUGACGCUGAGGUUCGAAGGCGUGGGUA
RNAcentral lists this ribosomal RNA (729 nucleotides) under uncultured bacterium. RNAcentral describes it as "bacterial SSU rRNA". It matches the Rfam family "Bacterial small subunit ribosomal RNA", at positions 69 to 767 of the family's 1533-position model. The record is from RNAcentral.